Molecule: ribosomal RNA, 253 nt
Filed under: uncultured bacterium
Lineage: Bacteria
Description: partial 16S ribosomal RNA
Rfam family: Bacterial small subunit ribosomal RNA
Source: RNAcentral
UACGGGGGGGGCAAGCGUUGUUCGGAAUUACUGGGCGUAAAGGGCUCGUAGGCGGCCAACUAAGUCAGACGUGAAAUCCCUCGGCUUAACCGGGGAACUGCGUCUGAUACUGGAUGGCUUGAGGUUGGGAGAGGGAUGCGGAAUUCCAGGUGUAGCGGUGAAAUGCGUAGAUAUCUGGAGGAACACCGGUGGCGAAGGCGGCAUCCUGGACCAAUUCUGACGCUGAGGCACGAAGGUCAGGGGAGCAAACGGG